RNAcentral lists this ribosomal RNA (502 nucleotides) under uncultured bacterium. RNAcentral describes it as "bacterial SSU rRNA". It matches the Rfam family "Bacterial small subunit ribosomal RNA", at positions 791 to 1299 of the family's 1533-position model. The record is from RNAcentral.
UAGUCCACGCCGUAAACGAUGAUCACUCGUUGUGUGCGAUACACGGCACGCGACUGAGCGAAAGCAUUAAGUGAUCCACCUGGGGAGUACGUUGGCAACAAUGAAACUCAAAGGAAUUGACGGGGGCCCGCACAAGCGGAGGAACAUGUGGUUUAAUUCGAUGAUACGCGAGGAACCUUACCCGGGUUUAAAUGUAGGACGAAAGCUUGAGAAAUCGAGCCUCCUUCGGGCGGACUACAAGGUGCUGCAUGGCUGUCGUCGGCUCGUGCCGUGAGGUGUCGGGUUAAGUCCCAUAACGAGCGCAACCCCUAUCGUUAGUUGCCAGCGAGUCAUGUCGGGGACUCUAACGAGACUGCCACCGUAAGGUGUGAGGAAGGUGGGGAUGACGUCAAGUCAGCACGGCCCUUAUAUCCGGGGCUACACACGUGUUACAAUGGUCAGCACAAAGGGCAGCUACACCGUGAGGUGAUGCUAAUCUCAAAAUCUGAUCUCAGUUCGGAUC